UUCAUAAGAUGACUGAAGCAAG
This 22-nucleotide transfer RNA is filed under the name Leptopsylla segnis. Its description in RNAcentral is "partial tRNA-Lys". Lineage: Eukaryota; Metazoa; Arthropoda; Insecta; Siphonaptera; Leptopsyllidae. RNAcentral also lists the same sequence under 1 other name. The record is from RNAcentral.